UAAGGUCGAUGGCGACCGGCGCACGGGUGAGUAACACGUAUCCAACCUACCGGUUAUUCCGGGAUAGCCUUUCGAAAGAAAGAUUAAUACCGGAUAGUAUAACGAGAAGGCAUCUUCUUGUUAUUAAAGAAUUUCGAUAACCGAUGGGGAUGCGUUCCAUUAGUUUGUUGGCGGGGUAACGGCCCACCAAGACAUCGAUGGAUAGGGGUUCUGAGAGGAAGGUCCCCCACAUUGGAACUGAGACACGGUCCAA
RNAcentral lists this ribosomal RNA (253 nucleotides) under uncultured bacterium. Its description in RNAcentral is "partial 16S ribosomal RNA". It matches the Rfam family "Bacterial small subunit ribosomal RNA", at positions 80 to 334 of the family's 1533-position model. The record is from RNAcentral.